RNAcentral lists this ribosomal RNA (235 nucleotides) under Cryptosporidium serpentis. RNAcentral's name for it is "partial 18S ribosomal RNA". It matches the Rfam family "Eukaryotic small subunit ribosomal RNA", at positions 626 to 892 of the family's 1831-position model. Lineage: Eukaryota; Apicomplexa; Conoidasida; Eucoccidiorida; Cryptosporidiidae. The record is from RNAcentral.
GCUCGUAGUUGGAUUUCUGUUGUAUUUUUAUAAUAUUAUUAAGGUAAUAUUUAUAAUAUCAACAUCCUUCCUGUUAUAUUUUUAAUAUAUAGGAAAUUUUACUUUGAGAAAAUUAGAGUGCUUAAAGCAGGCAACUGCCUUGAAUACUCCAGCAUGGAAUAAUAAGUAAGGACUUUUGUCUUUCUUGUUGGUUCUAGGAUAAAAGUAAUGGUUAAUAGGNACAGUUGGGGGCAUU